AUUGAACGCUGGCGGCAGGCCUAACACAUGCAAGUCGAACGGUAACAGGGAUCAGCUUGCUGAUUCGCUGACGAGUGGCGGACGGGUGAGUAAUGUCUGGGAAACUGCCUGAUGGAGGGGGAUAACUACUGGAAACGGUAGCUAAUACCGCAUAACGUCGCAAGACCAAAGAGGGGGACCUUCGGGCCUCUUGCCAUCGGAUGUGCCCAGAUGGGAUUAGCUGGUAGGUGGGGUAACGGCUCACCUAGGCGACGAUCCCUAGCUGGUCUGAGAGGAUGACCAGCCACACUGGAACUGAGACACGGUCCAGACUCCUACGGGAGGCAGCAGUGGGGAAUAUUGCACAAUGGGCGCAAGCCUGAUGCAGCCAUGCCGCGUGUAUGAAGAAGGCCUUCGGGUUGUAAAGUACUUUCAGCGGGGAGGAAGGGAGUAAAGUUAAUACCUUUGCUCAUUGACGUUACCCGCAGAAGAAGCACCGGCUAACUCCGUG
RNAcentral lists this ribosomal RNA (490 nucleotides) under uncultured bacterium. Its description in RNAcentral is "partial 16S ribosomal RNA". It matches the Rfam family "Bacterial small subunit ribosomal RNA", at positions 30 to 507 of the family's 1533-position model. The record is from RNAcentral.